RNAcentral lists this ribosomal RNA (440 nucleotides) under uncultured bacterium. RNAcentral describes it as "bacterial SSU rRNA". It matches the Rfam family "Bacterial small subunit ribosomal RNA", at positions 527 to 986 of the family's 1533-position model. The record is from RNAcentral.
GGAGGAUCCGAGCGUUAUCCGGAUUUAUUGGGUUUAAAGGGAGCGUAGGCGGAUUGUUAAGUCAGUUGUGAAAGUUUGCGGCUCAACCGUAAAAUUGCAGUUGAUACUGGCAGUCUUGAGUGCAGUAGAGGUGGGCGGAAUUCGUGGUGUAGCGGUGAAAUGCUUAGAUAUCACGAAGAACUCCGAUUGCGAAGGCAGCUCACUGGAGUGUAACUGACGCUGAUGCUCGAAAGUGUGGGUAUCAAACAGGAUUAGAUACCCUGGUAGUCCACACAGUAAACGAUGAAUACUCGCUGUUUGCGAUAUACAGUAAGCGGCCAAGCGAAAGCAUUAAGUAUUCCACCUGGGGAGUACGCCGGCAACGGUGAAACUCAAAGGAAUUGACGGGAACCCAGCUGCCGCGGUAAUACGGAGGAUCCAAGCGUUAUCCGGAUUUAUUG